CACUAGUGUACAGUGGCAUGUGUCUUGGUUCAGUUGCUGGUUUGGCAGCAUCUCCUGCAUUGAUACACAAGUUUGGUUGGCCAUCUGUUUUCUACUCUUUUGGUUCCCUUGGAAGUAUCUGGUUUGCACUUUGGUUGAGCAAAGCCUACAGUUCACCUCAAGAAGAUCCAAGUCUAAGUUUGGAGGAGAAGCAGUAGAUCGUGGGAGGCAACAUUUCCAAAGAACCAGUGUCUAGUAUUCCAUGGAAGAAGAUUUUGUCUAAGGCUCCUGUGUGGGCUCUCAUUAUUUCCCAUUUCUGUCAUAACUGGGGAACAUUUAUUCUGUUGACCUGGAUGCCGACUUACUAUAACCAGGUUUUGAAUUUCAACCUCACGGAAUCUGGAUUGCUUUGUGUGCUUCGAUGGCUCACUAUGGCUGUGUUCGCUAAUA
Long non-coding RNA from Salvia splendens (bonfire salvia), 429 nucleotides. RefSeq lists it as uncharacterized. Lineage: Eukaryota; Viridiplantae; Streptophyta; Magnoliopsida; Lamiales; Lamiaceae. The record is from RefSeq and is a predicted model, not a curated record. The transcript has 3 exons.